This 568-nucleotide long non-coding RNA is filed under the name Equus caballus (horse). RNAcentral describes it as "lncRNA (ENSECAG00000046511.1)". Lineage: Eukaryota; Metazoa; Chordata; Mammalia; Perissodactyla; Equidae. The record is from RNAcentral.
GAGGUGUUUUGAAGCAGAGUGUGAUGUGUUGGGAGUCAGAAGCCCCAGAGUUGACUUUCCGUACCGGCACUAACUUGUUACCCGAUGUGGUGAAAUCGCUUUACUGCUCUAAUCCCCAGUGUUCUCAUCUGUGAAAUGAAGGCAGAAGGUGGGUGACAUGAUUCAUGAGGUCUCUUUGAUCUCUAGAAGUCCAGAUGCAGCAAGAUAGUUUGGGUAUUGAAAAUAUACUUAUAAAAUAAAAUGAAGCAUGGAGCUCUUCUAUUUUUGUCUUCACUGAGAAUGUCUGAAUACAGGAAAUAAACUUUGAAGAUUUGGUAAAACUCACCUCUUUGGCAGUACGGCUGAAUUUUAAAAAUCCUCCUGAGGGGGCUGGCCCCUUGGCCGAGUGGUUAAGUUCGUGCGCUCUGCUGCAAGCGGCCCAGUGUUUCAUUGGUUCGAAUCCCGGGUGCGGAUACGGCACUGCUCAUCAAGCCACGCUGAGGCAGCGUCCCAUAUGCCACAACUAGAAGGACCCACAACGAAGAAUAUACAACUAUGUACUGGUGGGCUUUGGGGAGAAAAAGGGAAA